GCCGAGGCUGUGCUUGUGGUGACUCACACAAAGGGUGACAACAGCUGCAAAGCACCCUGAGAUUAAAGGCUGCAAGGGUCAGACAUCAGAUGUCUUCUACUGCAAGAAGGUCAGAUUUUCACAGUCUCAUCACCACAGUCUGGAGAGGCUAGAGUUACUUUUGUACAAGUCUGGAUCAGCUCAAUCUACAGUAAAAGGCACAUAUAUGCAGAUGUGGCUGGUUAUAUGAGUUCCAAUUUUAACUCCAUCUGUUGGCAUUUCAUCAAGAUGAGAAUGACCUGCCUUUUCUUCAGAGAUCAGCAGAGAAAAGAAGCUGAAUGUGUGCUGUCUGCAUCUCUUCCCUUAUUAACUGUGCUGCUAGUAUAAAAUCUUUCAUUAUUUUCCUUCCUUGCUGUAAACCUUGGGAGUGUAUUUUGAUAACCUUGACAAUUCCCUGUGGAGAUCUUGCUGUACCUUCAGUCAACUCAGUGCACAAAAUGAGGCAAGCAAAAUGUAGAGUUUGCAGGUAUGAUUACUUGUAAGUAUAGAGACUUCUUGUCUUCCUGUUGGCCAGAACCCAUGGAGAGAUUCUAGGUGAGCAGUUCUUUAGAGGAUGAUCUUUAUAGUCUCUCCUAACCCGUGGAGAUUUUGUGCAACAUUCUUCAUAGGCUUCAUAUUUCCAUAAUGAAAAAUAAAAAUAGAUUCUAAGUACAUUCCUUAUCCCAGGUGCACAAAAAGCUGAGUGGGAAAUCUGCAGAUCAUUGUGGUGCAUCCAAUAUCCUAUAUGUUUUUUUUCAUAUAACCUUUCUUUUCUGAUAAAGA
Molecule: long non-coding RNA, 801 nt
Organism: Oenanthe melanoleuca
Lineage: Eukaryota; Metazoa; Chordata; Aves; Passeriformes; Muscicapidae
Exons: 3
Source: RefSeq, a predicted model, not a curated record